Molecule: long non-coding RNA, 1695 nt
Organism: Arachis duranensis
Lineage: Eukaryota; Viridiplantae; Streptophyta; Magnoliopsida; Fabales; Fabaceae
Exons: 10
Source: RefSeq, a predicted model, not a curated record
GAGGCUUCUUCUCCUCCAACACCUGAGAGUAGAGAGCAGAUACGGAGUCAUGGUCACAGAGAGAGGCAGAGUGCAUAGCUUCUUCUUCUCUGACACCUGAGAAAACCUGCCGUCCUCUGCCUGAGAGCAGAGCUGCUUCUCCUUCGCCGAGCCCGCCGCCGCGCCAUCCUCUUCAUAUUCGUCGUUGCAACGUCUUUGCCAAUCAGCGUCGCUAUGAGCCCGUCGCCAAAGCACGUUGCCAUCGCAGUUUCUUCGCAGUCACGGUGGCUCAAUCAGUUAAAAUGUGGUGGACCAAAUAAUCUGAUGUAAGUAAAGAAUGCAAAACUUGCUGAUUAUGCAGACGGAGCUUUCACAACAAGUAAAAUAUUUGAGUUUUUGGACUACAACAAGUUUCCAUUAGUGACAAAAUGACUGAAAUGAACUCUAUCAGUGUCUACUCAAGCCCCGUCAAGCUUCAGGUUUUUGUCUUUGCCGAUAUUGAUGACUUCAAGGAUCUUCAAGAUACAAUUCAAGAUGUUGCAAGAACUUUCAAGUCAAAGAUAAUGUUUAUAUAUGUUGAUAUAUGGUGAGCCAAAUAAUGAAGAAAUGGAGAACAGCCACGUCAGAGGGCUUUUUUAUUUUUGACUGGGAGGGACUUGACCGUCUUUGCCAUCCUCAUGGAUCAAAUUAUCCCUACUGCAUUAAAUCUGCUGCAAUGCUGGAAUUGACAUGGUAAUGGUGGGUGUAAAAUUUGAACCAUUUAUUGAAGAUUUGACCUCUCUUGUUAAAUCGGGGAAAGUACCAAUAAGCAUAAUUGAUGAUGCUGUUGAGCAAAUUUUGAGAGUGAAGUUUGCCGCUGGUCUUUUUGAAUUUCCUUUUUAGUGACAGAUCUUUGCUAGAUACGGUUGGAUGCAAGCAACAUAGAGACUAACACACGAAGCAGUUCGAAAGUCCUUGGUUCUGUUGAAAAAUGGAAAAGAUAUUAGCAAACCCUUUCUUCCAUUGGAUAGGAAAGCAAAGAGAAUCCUUGUUGCUGGGACUCAUGCCAAUGAUCUUGGAUUUCAGUGUGGAGGUUGGAUCAAUUAUCAUUUGUUUUAAGAGUAGUUGAAGGUUUGAAGAUGGAGUUACCAAGCAAUGUGGAAAAUGUGCACACUGAAAGAGAAGAUCCUUCUCAGUUCAUCACACAUAGAGCUAAAGAUUUUGUUAUUAGCAUGAAGGAAAUUGAGCAUAGAUUCUUUCGUACUUUUGAAUCUGGUAGAGAGGUUUCUAGGCUUCUAGAAGCUAACAAAAUUAUGGUUGGAUAUUCUGAAUCCAAAGGGAAGCCUUCUGCAAUGGCAUUGCUAAGAGCUUUUCGUUCUGUUUUCCAUGGCGAAAAAGUAAGACCUCUUUCUAAAGGCAACAGUGGGAGCUGAAACUGAAGUUAUUUAAUCUUGUUGGUUAGUUGCUAAACAAAUCCCAACAUUGGUUAUUCUGAUAUCUGGGAGACCUUACUUUUGGAGCCACAAUUGUUUGAAAAGAUUGAUUCAUUUGUUGUUGUUUGAUUGACUGGUUCUGAAGCACUGGGAAUCACGGAUGUUAUCUUUGGCGAACAUGACUUCAAGGGUCAAUUACCAGUGACUUGGAUUCGAAAUGUCGAACAGCUCGAUCAACCAACCGAUAGAGUUAGUUCACAAGAACCCUUGUUUCCUCUUGGUUUCGAUCAAUCAACCUGUUAUC